Molecule: unclassified non-coding RNA, 332 nt
Filed under: soil metagenome
Description: partial contains 5.8S ribosomal RNA, internal transcribed spacer 2, and large subunit ribosomal RNA
Rfam family: 5.8S ribosomal RNA (bases 1-120)
Source: RNAcentral
GAUGAAGAACGCAGUGAAAUGCGAUAAGUAGUGUGAAUUGCAGAAUUCAGUGAAUCAUCGAAUCUUUGAACGCACAUUGCGCCCUUUGGUAUUCCUUAGGGCAUGCCUGUUCGAGCGUCAUUUAAACCUUCAAGCUAAGCUUGGUGUUGGGUGACUGUCCGCUUCACGGCGGACUCGCCUCAAAAUUAUUGGCGGCCGGUACAUUGGCUUCGAGCGCAGCAGAAACGCGAACUCGGGCCCGUCGUAUUGGCUCCCAGAAGCUAUCUUCACAAUUUUGACCUCGGAUCAGGUAGGGAUACCCGCUGAGCUUAAGCAUAUCAAUAAGCGGAGGA